GAGCACUGUCGGCAUCAUCGGGCUGGGGCGCAUAGGUGAGGCUCCCACCUGCCCGCUUGCCCGCCCCAGCUCUCACAGCUUGGUUUGCAUCCCUGGCAUCACGUGUCUGAAGGGUGAGAAGACCCACAUGCUGUCAGGGCACUUUGCUUGCAGCAGACAUAUCUCUAGUGAGGGAUACAGCUUUUUAAAACACAGGCAAAUACAUAAAUAAACCGAAGCAGGAUUCCUUAAGAACUCACCAGGUGAUAAAAGCAAGUUGCCUAAGGGUCAGGGGGCUUCAUGAUUCCAGCUCCAUAAAGAACAGAUGAAGACUACAAAUGUUGUGUUGGGGCCGUUAGGAGUGGUUGCCGUGAGAGAGCCCAUUCCCCCAACACCUCCGGCUUGCGUUCUGGAAGGUAUGUGACUCACGAAGCCCUAACUCAGGGGCCAGAGGGCUCAGUGGGCAGAGUUGAUCUGCAGUUCUGUAGAUGAGGCAGAGCCACUUUUCUUCCAGUGGCCCUUAUUUGGAGAAGCCUGGCAGAAGGGCUUGGGCCUAGCCAAGCAGGUAUCUGUUGGUGGUUCUCUGUCAUCCUGCCUGGUGCGGGGGUGCGGGUGAGGGUAGAGAGUGUGGAGAACCUGUCUAGCCAACAAACAGCCCGGCCUUUCACUAGAGAGUUGCUUGGAGGAACCAGCAGCUUUGGGGCAUGUUCUGAGCCUGAAAAUCCAACUGUACAAAUCUGUCUCAGCAGCAGCUUACAUGAAAAUUGUAAGUUUGGGGUGAAGCUGGCAGUUUGGCAGUGCCACCAAAAAGUCAAAUGGGGUCUGAGACUGCAUUCACAGAAGCAGAGGGGACUGCUUGACCAGGCAUCUCCUUUGUGAAAACUCUCUCCAGUUCUCAGAGGUUAGGAAAAACCUGAAUGGCUUUCCAGAUGGCUUGGACCAUGUGAGGACAGCAUCAGCCAGUGACAGCCUCAGGGGAGCUGAGGUGCUGUCUCCAGAUCCCUGGGGCAGUGUGGGCUGGCUGGGGGCUAGUUACAGUGGGGCAGCCAGCCCCCCACCCACUUUGGAGGAGACAGGAGCAGGCAACUCGGGCUGUGCUGAUGAAAAGGAUCUACCCUGAGGGCCGCUGUUCCGGAGAUGCUGGGUGGUGCCCCUACCCUUUGCGGGACUGGGGACGAGACAUGAACUCUCCUUGCUUUAGGCCAGGCCAUUGCUCGGCGUCUGAAACCAUUUGGUGUCCAGAGAUUUCUGUACACAGGGCGCCAGCCCAGGCCUGAGGAAGCAGCGGAAUUCCAGGCAGAGUUUGUGUCUACCCCUGAGCUGGCUGCCCAGUCUGAUUUCAUCGUCGUGGCCUGCUCCUUAACGCCUGCAACUGAGGGACUCUGCAACAAGGACUUCUUCCAGAAGAUGAAGGAAACAGCUGUGUUCAUCAACAUCAGCAGGGGUGACGUCGUAAACCAGGACGACCUGUACCAGGCCUUGGCCAGUGGUAAGAUUGCAGCUGCUGGACUGGAUGUGACGAGCCCAGAACCACUGCCUACAAACCACCCUCUCCUGACCCUGAAGAACUGUGUGAUCCUGCCCCACAUUGGCAGUGCCACCCACAGAACCCGCAACACCAUGUCCUUAUUGGCAGCUAACAACUUGCUGGCUGGCCUGAGAGGGGAGCCGAUGCCUAGUGAACUCAAGCUGUAGCCAAACAGUAGAGAUGGAGGGCCAGGAAGCAAACCGUGCCCUGGUAUUGUCAGACGCACCCAGGCUUGAUUUGGAUCCACAGGCAGAGCCAAGGGAAAGUGUGAUUCUGUGAGGAAACAGUGAUUCUGAUAUAUGUACUUGUCACAUUGGUGUUGGACACACUUGAGCCAAACGUAUGGUAAUUCUAUUAUUAAAUAAUUCUCUG
This 1879-nucleotide small RNA is filed under the name Pongo abelii (Sumatran orangutan). Its description in RNAcentral is "retained intron". The record is from RNAcentral. Lineage: Eukaryota; Metazoa; Chordata; Mammalia; Primates; Hominidae.